CAAGAAGUUCAUGUUUAAAUUGUUCUUCUUUCUGUCUUCAAGGAAAUCAAUGCUCAAAGGAAACAACAGUCCAGACUCCGAUGCCCGCUCCGAAGAUGCCCUCAGAUUCAGAUCCAUCAGCAACCCCUGACAACAUGGAGGACUCGUCCCCUGAGCGUUUCCUGUCCUCUCUCGAUGGCGUUCUUCUCUUCAGUUAUUAACUCUUGAAAACAGCAGCACAACAUGCCAGACUGUUUGACAAGUCUGUGAUUGAAUAAAUGGAAAUGGAAUCUCA
Long non-coding RNA from Labrus mixtus (cuckoo wrasse), 274 nucleotides. RefSeq lists it as uncharacterized. The transcript has 2 exons. NCBI's taxonomy places the organism in Eukaryota, Metazoa, Chordata, Actinopteri, Labriformes, Labridae. The record is from RefSeq and is a predicted model, not a curated record.